RNAcentral lists this unclassified non-coding RNA (89 nucleotides) under Pseudomonas thivervalensis. Lineage: Bacteria; Pseudomonadati; Pseudomonadota; Gammaproteobacteria; Pseudomonadales; Pseudomonadaceae. The record is from RNAcentral.
UGUGGGAGCGAGCCUGCUCGCGAUGACGGCGUGUCAGUCAACAUUGAACUGGCUGAUCUGACGCUAUCGCGAGCAGGCUCGCUCCCACA